UAGACGUGGGGGAACCUGACCGCAAUGCCGCGUGAGUGAAGAAGGCCUUCGGGUUGUAAAGCUCUUUUGUCAGGGAAGAAACACCGGCUCUAACACAGUCCGGGAAUGACGGUACCUGAAGAAUAAGCACCGGCUAACUACGUGCCAGCAGCCGCGGUAAUACGUAGGGUGCGAGCGUUAAUCGGAAUUACUGGGCGUAAAGCGUGCGCAGGCGGUUAUACAAGACAGGCGUGAAAUCCCCGGGCUUAACCUGGGAAUGGCGCCUGUGACUGUAUAGCUAGAGUGUGUCAGAGGGGGGUAGAAUUCCACGUGUAGCAGUGAAAUGCGUAGAUAUGUGGAGGAAUACCAAUGGCGAAGGCAGCCCCCUGGGAUAACACUGACGCUCAUGCACGAAA
This 395-nucleotide ribosomal RNA is filed under the name uncultured bacterium. RNAcentral's name for it is "bacterial SSU rRNA". It matches the Rfam family "Bacterial small subunit ribosomal RNA", at positions 359 to 758 of the family's 1533-position model. The record is from RNAcentral.